Molecule: long non-coding RNA, 853 nt
Filed under: Drosophila guanche
Lineage: Eukaryota; Metazoa; Arthropoda; Insecta; Diptera; Drosophilidae
Source: RNAcentral
CGUCUAAGCGUUUGGGCAAACGUCUCAUUACAGCGCGGAAUUGUGUGAAUUUCUAGGGCAUAUUUGAGAUGCCAUCUGGGCGCGUAAUUGAAUUGCGUCCAAUAAGCUCCAAUUGUCCGCAUUGUGGGCCGAUCGAAUGGCACUUAUCAUGCCAUCAACACUGGAAACUUUAUUAAACUCUUUGUGGGUGUGUACAAGGGGGCUCUAGGCGUGGGCGUGGCACCUGAUUAACACCCCCGAAGAUGGUAUGGUAUGUAUGUGUCUCUGGGUCAGACACUUGGCAAACAUUCAAAGAGGAAGAUCCGCAAUGAAAAUUACAUAUUUUCCGCGUAUAAUAAUUUGGUUUUAAUUGCAGCUACUCGUACUAAGAAUAGAACGUAGCAAUUUGGACAAAGUGUGAUCAUCGCCGCUCAUGAAGAGCCAUUUCCGCCGGAGGUUAUCCCAAGACCUGCACCCGUAUCCCGUGCCGAAAAAAGAUUGCCUUGAGUCACUCGACAAAUCUGCGUGCGCGGGUCGCACUGCGACUGCAGAAUCUUAUCUAACGAAAGAUUUGUUAUAUCAUAAAAAAGUAAAUGGGAUAGGGGAUUGUGUGGGUCUUAUCAUUGCAGAGGGGUGCUGAUUUAUCAUACCCAAGCUGUGACAUCAUUUGGCCCUAGAACAGAGAGUGUUCUUGGAAGUUCCAAAGACCAGAUUCGCACUAUGUACAAAUGUAUGUAAAUAUGUACACAGGUAUCUUUCCAUGACUGGCCAGAAAAUGCUUGAAACAGAAAUGAAGUUCGUUGUGAAAUGGUAAUUAACUAUUCAUUAUCAUAUUAUAUUUAGUUUGAUGGAGAAGUGGCGCGGGCAAGCAGAC